Molecule: ribosomal RNA, 253 nt
Filed under: uncultured bacterium
Lineage: Bacteria
Description: partial 16S ribosomal RNA
Rfam family: Bacterial small subunit ribosomal RNA
Source: RNAcentral
UACGGAGGGUGCGAGCGUUGUCCGGAAUCAUUGGGCGUAAAGGGCGCGUAGGUGGCUCGGUCAGCGUGCGGUGAAAGCUCGGGGCUCAACCCCGAGUCGGCCGUGCGAACUGCUGGGCUUGAGCACUGUAGAGGCAGGCGGAAUUCCGGGUGUAGCGGUGGAAUGCGUAGAGAUCCGGAAGAACACCGGUGGCGAAGGCGGCUCUCUGGAACGCAACUGACGCUGAGACGCGAAAGCGUGGGGAGCAAACAGG